UACGAAGGGGGCUAGCGUUGCUCGGAAUCACUGGGCGUAAAGCGCACGUAGGCGGAUCUUUAAGUCAGGGGUGAAAUCCCGGAGCUCAACUCCGGAACUGCCUUUGAUACUGGGGAUCUUGAGUUCGAGAGAGGUGAGUGGAACUGCGAGUGUAGAGGUGAAAUUCGUAGAUAUUCGCAAGAACACCGGUGGCGAAGGCGGCUUCCUGGACCGACACUGACGCUGAGGCGCGAAAGCUAGGGGAGCAAACGGG
RNAcentral lists this ribosomal RNA (253 nucleotides) under uncultured bacterium. Its description in RNAcentral is "partial 16S ribosomal RNA". It matches the Rfam family "Bacterial small subunit ribosomal RNA", at positions 524 to 776 of the family's 1533-position model. The record is from RNAcentral.